RNAcentral lists this ribosomal RNA (423 nucleotides) under uncultured bacterium. RNAcentral describes it as "partial 16S ribosomal RNA". It matches the Rfam family "Bacterial small subunit ribosomal RNA", at positions 360 to 775 of the family's 1533-position model. The record is from RNAcentral.
AAUUUUGGACAAUGGGGGAAACCCUGAUCCAGCCAUCCCGCGUGUAUGAUGAAGGCCUUCGGGUUAUAAAGUACUUUUGGCAGAAAAGAAGAGGUACCUCCUGAUCCGAGGUACUGCUGACGGUAUCUGCAGAAUAAGCACCGUCUAACUACGUGCCAGCAGCCGCGGUAAUACGUAGGGUGCAAGCGUUAAUCGGCAUUACUGGGCGUAAGGCGUGUGUAGGCGGUUCGGAAAGAAAGAUGUGAAAUCCCAGGGCUCAACCUUGGAACUGCAUUUUUAACUGCCGAGCUAGAGUAUGUCAGAGGGGGGUAGAAUUCCACGUGUAGCAGUGAAAUGCGUAGAUAUGUGGAGGAAUACCGAUGGCGAAGGCAGCCCCCUGGGAUAAUACUGACGCUCAGACACGAAAGCGUGGGGAGCAAACAG